RNAcentral lists this ribosomal RNA (1502 nucleotides) under activated sludge metagenome. Its description in RNAcentral is "bacterial LSU rRNA". It matches the Rfam family "Bacterial large subunit ribosomal RNA", at positions 398 to 2012 of the family's 2925-position model. The record is from RNAcentral.
CGGCGAGCCCUCGAGUAGACUCGGUCUCGUGAAACCCGGGUUGAAUAUGGGGGGUCCACCCUCCAAGGCUGAAUACUCCUCGACGACCGAUAGUGAACCAGUAAGGCGACUGAACGAUGACAAGCACCGCGAUGAGCGGAGUGAAAGAGUACCUGAAACCGUGCGCUUACAAGCGGUCGGAGCCCUGCGGGGUGACGGCGUGCUUUUUGCAUAAUGAGCCGGCGAGUUAGUCUGUACGGCGAGCCUAAGGCCUAGCGGGCCGGAGGCGGAGCGAAAGCGAGUCUGAAUAGGGCGUUGAGUCGUACGGGCUAGACGCGAAACCUUGUGAUCAACCCUCGAGCAGGCUGAAGUGCGGGUAAAACCGCAUGGAGGGCCGAACGGGUGACCGUUGAAAAGGUCUCCGAUGACUUGAGGGGAGGAUUAAAAGUAUAAUCAAACUGGGAGAUAGCUCGUUCUCUCCGAAAUAACUUUAGGGUUAGCCUCGGGUGGCAAGCGAUGGGGGUAGAGCUACUGGAUGAGGCGUCGGGCCUAACCGGCUACGACCCUCAACCAAACUCCGAAUACCAUUGCCCAAGACCCGGGAGAUAGACGGUGAGUGACAAUAUCCAUCGUCAAAAGGAGAACAAUCCAGACCACCAGCUAAGGUCCCGAAUCUACGCUUAGUUCGAAAGGAAGUCAGAUUGCAGUGACAGCCGGGAUGUUGGCUUAGAAGCAGCCACCAUUUAAAGAGUGCGUAACAGCUCACCGGUCGAGGAGUCUGGCGCCGAUAAUGAUCGGGAAUAAGCGUGGAGCCGAAGCUGUGGGCCCAGCAAUGGGCGGUAGGAGAGCGUAGUUGCUGCCGUGAAGCGGUCCGGAAACGGGUCGUGGAGCGGUAACUAGUGCAUAUGCCGGCUUAAGUAACGAUUAACACGGUGAAAAUCCGUGUCGCCGAAUGCCUAAGGUUUCCUGGGGAAGGUAAAUCCGCCCAGGGUUAGCCGGGUCCUAAGGUGAGGCCGAAAGGCGUAGCCGAUGGAAAUCAGGUCAAUAUUCCUGAGCCAAUGCCCAAUAUGGUGACGGAUCUCCAAGAUCUGCGGGACUGCUAGAUGUCCAGGCCCUCGAGGCCGAUGCAGGUGGAGGAGGUCACGAGAAAAACCGGGCGUGCCCGUACUAAAACUGACACAGGUAGGCGAGGCGAAUAGCCUCAGGCGCUCGAGAGAACGGUCGUGAAGGAACUAGGCAAUUUAACCCCGUACGUUCGCAAGAAGGGGGCCCUCGUCGUCAGACAGGGCGCAGAGAAAAGGGUCUGGGAACUGUUUAUCAAAAACACAGCUCUGUGCUAACUCGGAAGAGGAUGUAUACAGAGUGACGCUUGCUCAAUGCCGGAAUGUCACGGAAGCGGGUCAUCGCAAGAGAAGCCCGCGACUCAAGCACCGGUGAAUAGCGGCCGUAACUAUGACGGUCCUAAGGUAGCGAAGUUCCUUGUCGGGUAAGUUCCGACGCGCAUGAAUAGCGUAAUCACUGGA